GCCCGGCUAGCUCAGUUGGUAGAGCAUUCGACUCUUAUCAGAGUUCCAAGAUCGGCAUCGAAUUGUCGAGGGUUCGAGCCCCUCGUUGGGCG
Melampsora larici-populina 98AG31 is the source of this 92-nucleotide transfer RNA. It matches the Rfam family "tRNA". Rfam says of the family: Transfer RNA (tRNA) molecules are approximately 80 nucleotides in length. Their secondary structure includes four short double-helical elements and three loops (D, anti-codon, and T loops). Lineage: Eukaryota; Fungi; Basidiomycota; Pucciniomycetes; Pucciniales; Melampsoraceae. The record is from Rfam.